GUCGCUGCAAAUUCAGCGACCGGGUUUGACGGCCCGACGAAUCCAAGGCGCACAAGCGCCCCCAUAACGAUUGCAGGCGCUUUUUUU
RNAcentral lists this small RNA (87 nucleotides) under Pseudomonas taetrolens. The record is from RNAcentral. Lineage: Bacteria; Pseudomonadati; Pseudomonadota; Gammaproteobacteria; Pseudomonadales; Pseudomonadaceae.